GUGCCUUGCAGAUCUCGUAUUAGUGGCUCUAUGACCUGUUGUAAGUUUCACCUGCCUGAGGUUUCGUGUCUUCAUCUGUAAAAACGAACAGUUCAUCCCUGGGCUGCUUCACACAUCAUGAGGCUUUCAAGUCCUGCUGUGCAACAGGAUUUCUCCGAGAGGAAACAGCAGGACGAGCUUUUCCUACCAGCACAUGACUCCCGAACCCCUUUUCCUCUAAGCGUCGCAGGAUCUGAGGUUCUGUGGUUGCCCUUUGGAAAUCACUCAGCAGUGGGCCUGCUAUACAACACUGAAGACUGAGGAAAGGUCUGUUGGGCAUUUGUGUCGCCUUACCUUCUUCCAGCGCCAAGCCAAAUGUCACUUUUCCGUGAAAACGAUUGUUUUAACUGGUUAGUCAUCUCAGGACUGUGUUACUUUAUUUAUUCUUACCAUCAUCUUAUGUUUCCACAGAAAUAUCUAUUGAUGUCUUGAUUGGGAUUGUAAUGCAUGUGUAGGUUCCAUUUAUGGUGAACUAACAUCUUUGCCGGAGAAGGCAAUGGCACCCCACUCCAGUAUUCUUGCCUGGAAAAUCCCAUGGACAGAGGAACCUGAAAAAUACUCAGAAGUGGAAUUGCUAGAUCAAAGACACUUGCUCUUUGGAAGAAAAGCUAUGACAAACCUAGACAGAAUAUUAAAAAGCAGAGACAUUACUUUCGUACAAAGGUGCAUAUAGUCAAAGCUAUGGUUUUUCCAGUAGUCAUAAGUGAAUGUGAGAGUUGGACCGUAAAGAAAGCUGAGCGCUGAAGAACUGAUGCUUUUGAACUGUGGUGUUGGAGAAGACUCUUGAGAGUCCCUUGGACUGCAAGGAAAUCUAACCAGUCCAUCCUAAAGGAAAUCAGUCCUGAAUAUUCUUUGGAAGGACUGAUGCUGAAGCUCAAGCUCAAGCUCCAGUCCUUUGGCCACCUGAUGCAAAGAACUGACUCAUUGGAAAAGACCCUGAUGUUAGGAAAGAUCGAAGGCAGGAGGAGAAGGGGACAACAGAGGAUGAGAUGGUUGGAUGGCAUCACUGACUCGAUGGACAUGAGUUUGAGCAAGCUCUGGGAGUUGGUGAUGGACAGGGAGGCCUGGCGUGCUGCAGUCCAUGAGGUCACAAAGAGUCGGACACUACUGACCAAGUGAACUGAACUGAUGGUAGUUCAGUCCUUAAGAAAACCAACCCUGAAUAUUCAUCAGAAGGACUGUUGCUGAAGCUAAAAUUCCAAUACUUUGGCCACCUGAUGCAGAGAGCCAACUCACUGGGAAAAGGCCCUAAUGCUGGGAAAGAUUAAAGGCAAAAGAAAAAGGGAGUGGCAGAGGAUAAGAUGGUUGGAUGGUAUCACUGACUCUAGAUGAAUCUUCACAAACUCCAGGAGGUAGCAGAAGACAGAAGAACCUGUCAUGCUACAAUCCAUGAGGUCGCAAAGAGUCGGACUUAGCAACAACAAAUGGUGGUUCUGUUUUUAAGUUUUGAGGAACUUAACAUCUGUUUUCCAUAAUGGCUGCAAUUAUUUACAUUUCCUUCAACAGUGUACAAGGGUUCCCUUUUCUGCACAUCCUCACCAACACUUGUUAUUUGUUGUCUUUUUGAUAACCAUUCUAACAAGUGUGAGGUGAUAUCCCAUUGUAGUUUUGAUUUGCAUUUCCAUGAUGAUCAGUGAUGUUGAGUGUAUCUACUGACCAUCUACAUGUCUUUGAGAAAUUGUCUGUUUAGACCCUCUACCCAUUUUUUAAUCAGGUUGCUUGUCUUUACUGUUGUGAAGUUGUAUGAGUUCUUUGUAUAUUUUGGAUAUCGACCUCUGAUCAGAGGUAGUUUGCAAAUAUAUUCUCCUAUUCAGUAGGCAGCCUUUUAGUUUUGUUGAUAGAUUCCUAUGCAAAUGUGUUUGUUUGACAUAAUCCUAUUUGUUUAUUUUUGGUUUUGUUUCCCUUGCCUGAGAAGACAGAUCCAAAAAAUAAUUACUAAGACUCAUAUCAAAGAAUGGGCUGCCUGAAGGAAUCUAUAAUUCUUUUCCCCUUUCUGACACAUUCAUGUCCUCUGUGAAUAAUGCCAUGCAUUUCUUCCUUUCUGAUCUUCGGUGUCUUCUGUAUCCUUGCCUUGUUGCAUUGGCUGUGACUUCCACUAAAACGCUGAAGAGAAAUAAUACCAGGCAUUCUGGUCUUGUUCUGACUUUGGAGGAAGACUUUCAACAUUUCACGUAAAGUAUGUUGUUUGCUGUGAGUUUUUUAAAACUCAGAUCAACUAUGUUUCCUUUUAUUUCAACUUUGCCAAAAGUUUCUGUUUUGAAUGGAUAGUAAAUUUUAUUUUUAAAAAGUCUUUCAGCUGUAUACUAAAAUUUGCUGUUUUUCUCCAAAUCUGUCUUCAGAUCAUUAUCAGUUGUUUGCUUCCUGGCCCAGGAUCCCUGUGCUCAACAUUCCUAAGUAACACCUAUUGCUUUCCCAUGCUGCUGCCCCAUUGUUCUUGUUCAGUAGCU
Molecule: long non-coding RNA, 2486 nt
Organism: Dama dama (fallow deer)
Lineage: Eukaryota; Metazoa; Chordata; Mammalia; Artiodactyla; Cervidae
Exons: 3
Source: RefSeq, a predicted model, not a curated record